AUGAUAGAAAGCAACAAAGGGCAUAUUGUGAACAUAGCGAGUAUAGCAGGUCUCAUUGGAUUUCCGGUAAUCGUAGAUUAUUCUGCGUCUAAGUAUGCAGUUGUUGGUUCCAGUGAAGCAUUACAAAUGGAAUUAGACUUUCAUGGACAUGACGUUAGCAUUACAUCAGUAUGUCCGACUUUCAUUCACAAUACGGGCAUGCCUGCAGCUAAAUUCUCUGGGCGUGCUCCAAUUGUUAGUCCGCAAGAUGUUGCUGAAAGUACUGUUACUUCCAUCCGGUGUAACAAGAAGUUUAUUUUGGUGCCAAAUUACAU
Molecule: long non-coding RNA, 314 nt
Organism: Vespa velutina
Lineage: Eukaryota; Metazoa; Arthropoda; Insecta; Hymenoptera; Vespidae
Exons: 3
Source: RefSeq, a predicted model, not a curated record